GACGAACGCUGGCGGCGUGCUUAACACAUGCAAGUCGAACGGAAAGGCCCUGCUUGCAGGGUACUCGAGUGGCGAACGGGUGAGUAACACGUGGGUGAUCUGCCCUGCACUUCGGGAUAAGCCUGGGAAACUGGGUCUAAUACCGGCUAGGAGCCAUUUUUAGUGUGAUGGUUGGAAAGUUUUUUCGGUGUAGGAUGAGCUCGCGGCCUAUCAGCUUGUUGGUGGGGUAAUGGCCUACCAAGGCGGCGACGGGUAGCCGGCCUGAGAGGGUGGACGGCCACAUUGGGACUGAGAUACGGCCCAGACUCCUACGGGAGGCAGCAGUGGGGAAUAUUGCACAAUGGGCGCAAGCCGGAUGCAGCGACGCCGCGUGGGGGAUGACGGCCUUCGGGUUGUAAACUCCUUUCGCUAGGGACGAAGCUUUUUGUGACGGUACCUAGAUAAGAAGCACCGGCUAACUACGUG
This 465-nucleotide ribosomal RNA is filed under the name uncultured bacterium. RNAcentral's name for it is "partial 16S ribosomal RNA". It matches the Rfam family "Bacterial small subunit ribosomal RNA", at positions 28 to 507 of the family's 1533-position model. The record is from RNAcentral.